This 492-nucleotide ribosomal RNA is filed under the name uncultured bacterium. Its description in RNAcentral is "partial 16S ribosomal RNA". It matches the Rfam family "Bacterial small subunit ribosomal RNA", at positions 29 to 507 of the family's 1533-position model. The record is from RNAcentral.
AGUGAACGCUGGCGGUAGGCCUAACACAUGCAAGUCGAACGGCAGCACAGUAAGAGCUUGCUCUUACGGGUGGCGAGUGGCGGACGGGUGAGGAAUACAUCGGAAUCUACUUUUUCGUGGGGGCUAACGUAGGGAAACUUACGCUAAUACCGCAUCCGACCUACGGGUGAAAGCAGGGGAUCUUCGGACCUUGCGCGAUUGAAUGAGCCGAUGUCGGAUUAGCUAGUUGGCGGGGUAAAGGCCCACCAAGGCGCCGAGCCGUAGCUGGUCUGAGAGGAAGAUCAGCCACACUGGAACUGAGACACGGUCCAGACUCCUACGGGAGGCAGCAGGGGGGAAUAUUGGACAAUGGGCGCAAGCCUGAUCCAGCCAUACCGCGUGGGUGAAGAAGGCCUUCGGGUUGGAAAGCCCUUUUGUUGGGAAAGAAAAGCAGCAGGUUAAUACCCCGCUGUUCUGACGGUACCCAAAGAAUAAGCACCGGCUAACUUCGUG